This 53-nucleotide ribosomal RNA is filed under the name fungal sp. WkRe_3. Its description in RNAcentral is "partial 28S ribosomal RNA". The record is from RNAcentral. Lineage: Eukaryota; Fungi.
AUCAGGUAGGAAUACCCGCUGAACUUAAGCAUAUCAAUAAGCGGGGAGGAAAA